GUCCGGCAACGAGCGCAACCCACACCCCUAGUUGCCAGCAGUUCGGCUGGGCACUCUAUGGGAACUGCCCGUGAUAAGCGGGAGGAAGGUGUGGAUGACGUCAAGUCUUCAUGGCCCUUACGGGUUGGGCUACACACGUGCUACAAUGGCAAGUAUAGUGGGUUAAUCCCCAAAACUUGUCUCAGUUCGGAUUGGGGUCUGCAACUCGACCCCAUGAAGUCGGAAUCGCUAGUAAUCGCGGAACAGCAUGCCGCGGUGAAUACGUUCCCGGGCCUUGCACACACCGCCCGU
This 291-nucleotide ribosomal RNA is filed under the name uncultured bacterium. RNAcentral's name for it is "partial 16S ribosomal RNA". It matches the Rfam family "Bacterial small subunit ribosomal RNA", at positions 1084 to 1397 of the family's 1533-position model. The record is from RNAcentral.